Molecule: ribosomal RNA, 799 nt
Filed under: uncultured bacterium
Lineage: Bacteria
Description: bacterial SSU rRNA
Rfam family: Bacterial small subunit ribosomal RNA
Source: RNAcentral
AGAGUUUGAUCAUGGCUCAGGACGAACGCUGGCGGCGUGCCUAACACAUGCAAGUCGAACGGACCAAUGUUUGACACUGAGAGUUUUCCAACCUGCUCUUCAGUGAGGGACAGCGUGACGCGAACGAAGAGAGCGUCUACGCGUUAAAAAAAGUGCCAACACAACUAUUUGGAAAGAGAAUUUUCAGUGUCGGACAUUGGUUAGUGGCGGACGGGUGAGUAUCGCGUGGGUAACCUGCCCAUAAGUGGGGAAUAACAGUUGGAAACGACUGCUAAUACCGCAUAAGCUGAGCAAUCAGUAAAGGAGGCUAACGCUUCCGCUUAUGGAUGGGCCCGCGUCUGAUUAGCUAGUUGGUGGGGUAAUGGCCUACUAAGGCAACGAUCAGUAGCCGGCCUGAGAGGGUGGACGGCCACACUGGGACUGAGACACGGCCCAGACUCCUACGGGAGGCAGCAGUGGGGAAUAUUGCGCAAUGGGGGAAACCCUGACGCAGCGACGCCGCGUGAGCGAAGAAGGCCUUAGGGUCGUAAAGCUCUGUUUUAAGGGACGAAUAUCUUCUGUAGUAACUGACUGAGGAAUGACGGUACCUUAAGAGAAAGCCCCGGCUAACUACGUGCCAGCAGCCGCGGUAAGACGUAGGGGGCGAGCGUUGUCCGGAAUUACUGGGCGUAAAGAGCACGUAGCGGGAUUUUAAGUCAGGUGUGAAAGACCGUGGCUCAACCACGGGGUUGCACAUGAAACUGGAAUUCUUGAGGGCAGGAGAGGAAAGUGGAAUUCCUGGUGUAGUGGUGAAAUGCGU